UCUCCUAUAUAUACAUUUCCGCUUCCUUGUCAAACCCGCAACAGUCAACCACCAGGAAAUCGCGCAAAUUUUAUCGUCUUCCACUCAAAACAAAACAGAAGAGAAUCUACCAUGGCGCCCAAAGCCGAGAAGAAGCCUGCUGAGAAGAAGCCGGCCGAGGAGAAAAAGACUACCGUCGCUGAGAAAUCCCCUGCCGAGAAGAAGCCGAAGGCCGGUAAGAAGCUUCCCAAAGAAGGCGGUGCGGCCGGAGACAAGAAGAAGAAGAAGGCCAAGAAGAGCGUGGAGACCUACAAGAUCUACAUCUUCAAGGUCCUUAAGCAAGUCCAUCCUGAUAUCGGUAUCUCAAGCAAGGCUAUGGGGAUCAUGAACAGUUUCAUCAACGAUAUCUUCGAGAAGCUUGCUCAGGAAGCUUCUAGACUCGCGAGGUACAACAAGAAGCCAACGAUUACUUCCAGGGAAAUCCAGACCGCAGUUAGGCUUGUACUUCCCGGCGAGCUUGCCAAACACGCCGUCUCUGAAGUGUGAAUGUGAAGAGCGAUCCUAUAUCGACUCGUAGGUCCCUGUUUAAUUUUCUGGCGGUGAAUGUCCGAUGCAAUGGAUGCAACAGGCACAUUGGCGAGCAAUUUUUUACGCUUGAUGGUGAUAGGCCUCUCCAUCGUGUAAUGGAAAGAAGUUAUGUACUUCAUGUGUAUAUUGGCUUUGAAAUACUGAAUCAUAUUCCGAAAUUAGAAUGAAAAAGGCAGUGGUUGCAUGCAGGGACCGGUCACUGUAUUGGGAUGGAACCCAGGUGAUUAAUGCACCACUCCUCGGAGAAAAGUGACUGAGUUACCCAACUCUAAGUUCACUAAGGAUGCAAACUUUUAUACGGAGUGUGGUUUUGUUUUUCAUGUCAGGAUGUAUUGUUGGUUUUGUGCUUUAUUUGGUUUGCUGAAUACUCAUCAAAAUAUUAGACCGGUAUUAUAAUUGCUAUCAUUGUAGGUAAUUUUCAUGGAUUUUGUUUCCUAAACCAACAUUUUAUGCAGGGAAAUUGAUUCAAGUGAGCAUUGCUUUAAAAACAUUGUUUUACAUUUGUUUAGUAUAUAAAUUGAUCGUUUUUUUUUUCUGGCUUAUUUAUCUUUCUUUCUCAUAAAACUUAAUAUCUAUGUAUGUAUUUUAUUGUAGCAUUUGGUGUUAUAAAUAUGUAUGAUGAGAGCCUAGGCUGAUCAAUGCCACUGCGAAAAAACCCUGCAUGCGUUUGAGCAACGUGAAAGAAAGACAAAAUAAACCCAAAAAAAAAGAAGCAAUUUAUAUACUAAACAAAUGUCAAACAAUGUUUUUAAAGCGCAUCAACUAUGCUCACUUGAAUCAGUUUCCCAGCAAAAGAUGUUGGCUUUGGCAACAAAAUCCAUGAAAACUACCUAAGUUGAAAUCAAUUGUAAAACCAAUAUAAUAUUUUAAUGAGUACUCAGCUAGUUAAAUAAAGUACAAAACCAACAAUGCGUCUUGAAAUGAAAAGCAAAACCAGAUGCGAUAGAGAAGUUUGCACCCUUAGUGAACUUAAGGAUUGGCUCGACCAUUAGUUAAAGUAGUUAGGAAGAAUUGAGGUAAGUUGUUGUCAAUGUAAACUGUUUACUUUUUGUUAAUGCAUCAGCUGGAAGUUAGUUAGGAUCAAGUUGUUAGACUAAGUUCUUGGUCGAUACAUUAUCCAAACUCUUGUAUAAAUAAGUGAGCUCGGUCCUAUUGGGAUUAUUAGAGUUCAAAUCAAUAAAAGAAGUAGAUCCUGUUUUCUUUA
Gossypium arboreum is the source of this 1771-nucleotide RNA transcript. It is a transcript of the gene named probable histone H2B.1, with no coding region annotated. The transcript has 3 exons. NCBI's taxonomy places the organism in Eukaryota, Viridiplantae, Streptophyta, Magnoliopsida, Malvales, Malvaceae. The record is from RefSeq and is a predicted model, not a curated record.